This 649-nucleotide long non-coding RNA is filed under the name Heterocephalus glaber (naked mole-rat). RNAcentral's name for it is "lncRNA (ENSHGLG00100047978.1)". The record is from RNAcentral. Lineage: Eukaryota; Metazoa; Chordata; Mammalia; Rodentia; Bathyergidae.
CUUGGGUCCACCGUUAGGGCGUCACCAAGGUCUGCUCUGGUGUGAACCUGGGUGCCAGGACCUGCCUGCCAUCCGAGGGAGUCCAGGGAAUGGGCGGCCCUGGAGGUGCGCUCCCACCCUCCUCGCCAGGGCCUACCCCUGCUGGGUAGCAGGGAGCCCUGGGGCAGCGGUCCCUUUCAAGUUCUAAGUAGCCUCCCUUGGAAAGCCACGCGUGCAGCGCACGUCUGCUGGUCUGCCUUCACCGUGUCCGCCCACUCCGCUGCUCUGGGCCCCAACCAGUCUCUGUUCAAGGACUUGCAGCGGACACACUGUUCCCUUCCCCUGGGUGGGACGGCACUUGAGCUGUGCCACCAGCCAUAACCCUGCUCACACCCAGCCGCUCCCCCAGGUUAAUCUGGCCCCUGCCAACUCCCGAAUUGGGUAGCUUCUUUAGAAAUCAAUUGCCAAUCAAAAGUAUUCCAGGUCCUUCUUGCCUUGAAGAAAGAAUUGGACAAGCCCAAAAUGGUUCCAAAAGUUUAUGUGAAAAGUGCAGGGUGAAUGGGUAAUGAGAAACCAGCUGUGCAGAGUGAACUUGGGCAGAACACAAGAAAAAGUGUGAUAGCCAACCUGAGUCCAUUUGUGUACCUAACUCCAUUUGUGUAAAGUCGAG